ACUUUCCAGAACGCUCGGUGAGAGGCGGAGGAGCAGCGGCUGCUCAAGCUGCGCACAGAUACGCGCUCCUUCCCGCUCCUCCACGUCGGCCUCAGCCCGCUCACCGGCUGUAGAAAAUGGUGAAAGAAACCACUUAUUAUGAUGUUUUGGGGGUCAAACACAAUGCCACUCAUGAAGAGUUGAAAAAGGCUUAUAGGAAACUGGCCUUGAAAUACCACCCUGAUAAGAAUCCAAAUGAAGGAGAGAAGUUUAAACAGAUUCCUCAAGCCUACGGAGUUCUCUCUGAUGUAAAGAAGAGGGAACUAUAUGACAAAGGAGGAGAACAGGCAAUUAAAGAGGGUGGAGCAGGUGGCGGUUUUGGCUCCCCCAUGGACAUCUUUGAUAUGUUUCUUGGAGGAGGAGGAAGGAUGCAAAGAGAAAGGAGAGGUAAAAAUGUUGUACCUCAGCUCUCAGUAACCUUAGAAGAUUUAUAUAAUGGUGCAACAAGAAAACCGGCUCUGCAGAACAAUGUGAUUUGUGACAAGUGUGAAGGCCGAGGUGGUAAGAAAGGAGCAGUAGAGUGCUGUCCCAAUUGCCGAGGUACUGGAAUGCAAAUAAGAAUUCAUCAAAUAGGACCUGGAAUGGGUCAACAAAUUCAAUCUGUGUGCAUGGAGUGCCAGGGCCGUGGGGAACGGAUCAGUCCUAAAGACAGAUGUCAAAUCUGCAACGGAAGGAAGAUAGGUCGGGAAAAGAAGAUUCUAGAAGUUCAUAUUGACAAAGGCAUGAAAGAUGGCCAGAAGAUAACAUUCCAUGGUGAAGGAGACCAAGAACCAGGACUAGAGCCAGGAGAUAUUAUCAAUGUGUUAGAUCAGAAGGACCAUGCUGUUUUUACUCGACGAGGAGAAGACCUUUUCAUGUGUAUGGACAUACAGCUGGUUGAAGCAUUAUGUGGCUUCCAAAAGUUCACAACAGUGCCACCAAUGGUAGGGUUGGUCCAAAGUUUAGCCACCAGAUAA
RNA transcript from Propithecus coquereli (Coquerel's sifaka), 995 nucleotides. It is a transcript of the gene named dnaJ homolog subfamily A member 1 pseudogene, with no coding region annotated. The transcript has 2 exons. The record is from RefSeq and is a predicted model, not a curated record. Lineage: Eukaryota; Metazoa; Chordata; Mammalia; Primates; Indriidae.